Molecule: ribosomal RNA, 1672 nt
Filed under: metagenome
Description: bacterial LSU rRNA
Rfam family: Bacterial large subunit ribosomal RNA
Source: RNAcentral
GGGCAUCGAAGCCAGAUCGUGAGAACUGGUGGAGCGCUUAGAAGUGAGAGUGCCGGUAUGAGUAGCGCAAGACGGGUGAGAAUCCCGUCCACCGAAUAACUAAGGUUUCCUGGGGAAGGCUCGUCCUCCCAGGGUUAGUCGGGACCUAAGCUGAGGCCGAUAGGCGUAGGCGAUGGACAACAGGUUGAUAUUCCUGUACCAGUUGCUUUUGUUUGAGCGAUGGAGGGACGCAGGAGGCUAAGGAAUGCACACGAUCGGAAAUGUGUGUCCAAGCAGCAAGUCUGAGAACGAGUGAAAUGCUUUUUCUCUCAAGGACAAGCUGUGAUGGGGAGCGAAAUUUAGUAGCGAAGUUCCUGAUGUCACACUGCCAAGAAAAGUUUCUAGUGAGAAAGUAACUGCCCGUACCGCAAACCGACACAGGUAGUUGAGGAGAGAAUCCUAAGGUGUGCGAGAGAACUCUCGUUAAGGAACUCGGCAAAAUGACCCCGUAACUUCGGGAGAAGGGGUGCUGACCGCAAGGUCAGCCGCAGUGAAUAGGCCCAAGCGACUGUUUAUCAAAAACACAGGUCUCUGCAAAAUCGAAAGAUGACGUAUGGGGGCUGAUGCCUGCCCGGUGCUGGAAGGUUAAGAGGAGAGGUUAGCGCAAGCGAAGCUUUGAAUUGAAGCCCCAGUAAACGGCGGCCGUAACAAUAACGGUCCUAAGGUAGCGAAAUUCCUUGUCGGGUAAGUUCCGACCCGCACGAAAGGCGUAACGAUUUGGGCACUGUCUCAACGAGAGACUCGGUGAAAUUAUAGUACCAGUGAAGAUGCUGGUUGCCCGCGACAGGACGGAAAGACCCCAUGGAGCUUUACUGCAGUUUGAUAUUGCGUGUUUGUAUCACAUGUACAGGAUAGGUAGGAGCCGAAGAUACCGGGACGCCAGUCUCGGAGGAGGCAACGGUGGGAUACUACCCUUGUGAUAUGACCACUCUAACCCGCUGCUCUUAGCGAGCAGGGAGACAGUGUCAGACGGGCAGUUUGACUGGGGCGGUCGCCUCCAAAAAUGUAACGGAGGCGCCCAAAGGUUCCCUCAGAAUGGUUGGAAAUCAUUCGUAGAGUGUAAAGGCAGAAGGGAGCUUGACUGCGAGACCUACAAGUCGAGCAGGGACGAAAGUCGGGCUUAGUGAUCCGGUGGUUCCGCAUGGAAGGGCCAUCGCUCAACGGAUAAAAGCUACCCUGGGGAUAACAGGCUUAUCUCCCCCAAGAGUUCACAUCGACGGGGAGGUUUGGCACCUCGAUGUCGGCUCAUCGCAUCCUGGGGCUGUAGUCGGUCCCAAGGGUUGGGCUGUUCGCCCAUUAAAGCGGUACGCGAGCUGGGUUCAGAACGUCGUGAGACAGUUCGGUCCCUAUCCGUCGCGGGCGUUGGAAAUUUGAGAGGAGCUGUCCUUAGUACGAGAGGACCGGGAUGGACACACCGCUGGUGUACCAGUUGUUCUGCCAAGAGCAUCGCUGGGUAGCUAUGUGUGGACGGGAUAAACGCUGAAGGCAUCUAAGCGUGAAGCCCCCCUCAAGAUGAGAUUUCCCAUCACUUUAAGUGAGUAAGACCCCUGAGAGAUGAUCAGGUAGAUAGGUUGGGAGUGGAAGUACAGCGAUGUAUGGAGCGGCCCAAUACUAAUCGGUCGAGGACUUAACC